This 300-nucleotide ribosomal RNA is filed under the name uncultured bacterium. RNAcentral's name for it is "partial 16S ribosomal RNA". It matches the Rfam family "Bacterial small subunit ribosomal RNA", at positions 496 to 795 of the family's 1533-position model. The record is from RNAcentral.
GUUAAGUCAGUGGCGGGCGCCGCGGUAAGGCGUGGGGGGUGGUCGUGGUCCGGAAUGAGUGGGGUUAAAGAGCGUGUAGGCGGUUGUGUCCGUCUGCUGUUAAAAGCCGGGGCUCCACCCCGGGCUGGCAGUGGGUACGGGCAGACUAGAGUAUGGUAGGGGAGACUGGAAUUCCGGGUGUAGCGGUGAAAUGCGCAGAUAUCAGGAGGAACACCGAUGGCGAAGGCAGGUCUCUGGGCCACUACUGACGCUGAGAAGCGAAAGCAUGGGGAGCGAACAGGAUUAGAUACCCUGGUAGUC